CAAUAGCGUAUAUUAAAGUUGUUGCGGUUAAAAAGCUCGUAGUUGGAUUUCUGUCGGAGACGCGCGGUCCGCACUAUGUGCGUGUAUCUGUGUCGGCUCUGGCAUCCUCCUGGGGAACGGUGCUGCGCUUGAUUGCGUGGUCCGGUAUUCAGGACUUUUACUUUGAGGAAAUUAGAGUGUUUACGGCAGGCAAGCGCCUUGAAUAUAUUAGCAUGGAAUAAUAACAUAGGACUUUGGUUCUAUUUUGUUUGGUUUCUAGGACAUAAGUAAUGAUUAAUAGGGAUAAUUGGGGGCGAUUUGUAUUAACGCGUCAGAGGUGGAAUUCUUGGAUUGCGUUACGACAAACUACUGCGAAAGCAUUUGCCAAGGAUGUUUUCAUUGAUCAAGAACGAAAGUAUGGGAUCGAAGACGAUUAGAUACCGU
Molecule: ribosomal RNA, 423 nt
Filed under: uncultured eukaryote
Lineage: Eukaryota
Description: SSU rRNA
Rfam family: Eukaryotic small subunit ribosomal RNA
Source: RNAcentral